UCCAACCCCAAACAAGUAUUGGAGGUGAUGCCUGCCCGGUGACUUACGUUCAACGGCCGCGGUAUCCUAACCGUGCAAAGGUAGCGCAAUCAAUUGUCCCAUAAAUCGAGACUAGUAUGAAUGGCUAAACGAGGUCUUAACUGUCUCUUACAGGCAAUCGGUGAAAUUGAUCUCCCUGUACAAAAGCAGGGAUAAACCCAUAAGACGAGAAGACCCUGUGGAACUUCAAAACCAGCAACCACCUUAGAACACAUACUCUCCCACCGGGUUCACUGACACACUAAAUCACUGGUCUGCGUUUUUCGGUUGGGGCGACCUUGGAGCAAAACAAAACCUCCAAAAAUUAGAGCACACCUCUAGACUGAGAGCAACCCCUCAACGUGCUAAUAGCACCCAGAUCCAAUAUAAUUGACCAAUGGACCAAGCUACCCCAGGGAUAACAGCGCAAUCUCCUCCGAGAGUCCGUAUCGACGAGGAGGUUUACGACCUCGAUGUUGGAUCAGGACAUCCUAGUGGUGCAGCCGCUACUAAGGGUUCGUUUGUUCAACGAUUAACAGUCCUACGUGAUCUGAGUUCAGACCAGA
RNAcentral lists this ribosomal RNA (584 nucleotides) under Coryphospingus cucullatus (Red-crested finch). Its description in RNAcentral is "partial 16S ribosomal RNA". It matches the Rfam family "Bacterial large subunit ribosomal RNA", at positions 1821 to 2620 of the family's 2925-position model. The record is from RNAcentral. Lineage: Eukaryota; Metazoa; Chordata; Aves; Passeriformes; Thraupidae.